UACGAAGGGGGCCAGCGUUGUUCGGAAUUACUGGGCGUAAAGCGCACGUAGGCGGACAUUUAAGUCAGGGGUGAAAUCCCAGAGCUCAACUCUGGAACUGCCUUUGAUACUGGGUGUCUUGAGUAUGGAAGAGGUGAGUGGAAUUCCGAGUGUAGAGGUGAAAUUCGUAGAUAUUCGGAGGAACACCAGUGGCGAAGGCGGCUCACUGGUCCAUUACUGACGCUGAGGUGCGAAAGCGUGGGGAGCAAACAGG
Molecule: ribosomal RNA, 253 nt
Filed under: uncultured bacterium
Lineage: Bacteria
Description: partial 16S ribosomal RNA
Rfam family: Bacterial small subunit ribosomal RNA
Source: RNAcentral